UACGGAGGGUGCAAGCGUUAUCCGGAUUUACUGGGUUUAAAGGGUGCGUAGGUGGGUCUGUAAGUCAGUGGUGAAAUCUCCGAGCUUAACUCGGAAACUGCCAUUGAUACUAUAGAUCUUGAAUAUCCUGGAGGUGAGCGGAAUAUGUCAUGUAGCGGUGAAAUGCUUAGAUAUGACAUAGAACACCAAUUGCGAAGGCAGCUCACUACGGGACAAUUGACACUGAGGCACGAAAGCGUGGGGAUCAAACAGG
This 253-nucleotide ribosomal RNA is filed under the name uncultured bacterium. Its description in RNAcentral is "partial 16S ribosomal RNA". It matches the Rfam family "Bacterial small subunit ribosomal RNA", at positions 524 to 776 of the family's 1533-position model. The record is from RNAcentral.